Molecule: non-coding RNA, 163 nt
Filed under: Alphaproteobacteria bacterium
Lineage: Bacteria; Pseudomonadati; Pseudomonadota; Alphaproteobacteria
Description: 6S RNA
Rfam family: 6S / SsrS RNA
About the family: E. coli 6S RNA was the first non coding RNA to be sequenced, but its function was unknown until recently. It consists of 184 nucleotides that fold into an extended hairpin structure with a large single-stranded internal bulge.
Source: RNAcentral
GGGAUGCUGCGGGGUGCGUGAUCGGCCAUUAUUCCCACUGACCGAUACAAAUCUUGCGAGGGAGCUGUCCCUGUCCAUCGCCGUGGCUUUGGAUAUUACGGCGCCCACCUGUUUUUCAGGGUCAUCGCGGAUUAUUCGCUGACACGGCUUUUGUGGCUCCCAC